Molecule: unclassified non-coding RNA, 214 nt
Filed under: Trechispora nivea
Lineage: Eukaryota; Fungi; Basidiomycota; Agaricomycetes; Trechisporales; Hydnodontaceae
Description: partial internal transcribed spacer 2
Source: RNAcentral
AGCCAUCAACCCCGAGCGUUUCUUGCGAGCGCGCGGCGGUUGGACCUGGGGGCUCUGCCGCUCGAUGAGAGCCGGCUCCCCUCAAAUGCUUCGGUUGGGCCUGUGGGUCGAACUCGACUGGGCGUUGUACCAUCCUCGCUCGAACGAGACGGACCCCUUCCGCGCCUUGCCUCGACCUGCCUCCCAGUGGGGGCGGUCAAUCAAGCUUUUUGAA